Molecule: non-coding RNA, 2367 nt
Organism: Salvelinus sp. IW2-2015
Lineage: Eukaryota; Metazoa; Chordata; Actinopteri; Salmoniformes; Salmonidae
Source: RefSeq, a predicted model, not a curated record
GUGUGUGUGUGUGGAGAGUACAAUCGGUAAACAGCUCAAAUGUGUAAUGCUUUAUUAAACCUCUAAUGAAGGGCACCGACCGCUGGCAUCCGACACCUGUUUGGGCAUACCUGUGCCACCGCAGGAGGGGGUGCCAGGUGUUCCAAGAACAGUACCACCCAAGCCAGAGAAAAAAGGGACAAAGCAUGUCGUCCCAACUUCGUUCGCCCCCCCCGUCGCCCUUCCUCCUUCUUCAAAGCAACGGCCAUAUAAAAAAUGCACUAUUCUGAGCUUGUUUUGAUCGAGUCAAGACCCAGCUAAACGCUCCUUUUAAGGAAGAGCAGAGGGCCGAAAAGGCACGAUUUGUUUCUGUUUUGGGGCUGAAAACUGUGCAGGAAAGAUUUUCAGAUUCAGAGCCCCUGGAGAGAUUGAUGACCACUGUGUUUCCUCUGAUACAGUCAGGAACACAGAGAGGACUGACUGCAUGAAACGGCAAUAGACAGUCCAAACAAACAGAGUCUAUGCGGGUUAGGAAGCACACACACAACGGAAGCCAGAAAAGCUGAAAGGGAACAAACUCUCAAUAAGACACAAGUAAGCGACGUGGCUGAGGAUUGAUUCAUUCUCGGAAACUCUCCUGAGAGAGAAAAGAAGCACAGCAACCACAACAUUGUGCUUUUUCAGCUGUGGCUGCGCAUCACUUUCAUGACUGACAAUCAGCCUGUGUUUGCCAUUUCAGAAUGACUAAGUAUGACCUGAUAGAGACAGUGAAGACACACAGGUCAAACUCCUCAGGGUUCAGAUGGUUUAGGUCCUCCAGCAGAGGGAAAGAGAGACCCUGUUCAGAACGAGUGGUACUAGCCAGGUGAGAGAGGGGAGGCCGCUCUGCCCAUCCGUGCCCUCCUCUUCCAAAAUGGAAGGAUAAACAGACCACAUAGCAGCGAUGCCACUCCCCCAGGCAGCUACAUCCCUCUCUCCCCCUCUCUCUCCCUUCCCUCUCUCUUCUCUACUCUCCGCCCAUCUGCUUUUCCUCCCAUAAACAAGGUGACAUAGUGUAGAGUGCUGCCAGAGAACCUCCUCGCCUGCUGCUGCUGCUGAAUCCACAGCCUUUCUCCCAGCCUCCUCACCAGACGGUCUGUGACCUCCAGAUCAACAUCUAUCCAUCCAUCUAUCCGUCCACUCCACUGGAGCAGACCUCUGUAGCUGAACCAACAACCACCACAGCUUCAGUGAGGGCUAAGCAGGGAGAUGUAAUCUGCAUCCAUCCAAUCAUCCAUCCAUCACUAGCCUUCCUGAGGAACCUUCCAGAAGACCCCCCCCCCCCCGAACUGAAGAGCUUUGACCAGAAAUUGAUCACUCUGCCUGGGGUAUCUGCAGCCUGAACCCAGCCUCUCCAUGUCGAGUGUCAUCAUGGAUCUGGUCAACAACCGCGGCCUCAACCUGAUGCUCAACUUCCUGCUCAUCGUCAUCGUGUUGCUCCUCAUGCUUGUCCUGGUCAAGCUCAUGUAACCGCUGACCUCUGACAUCAUGGCUUACAGUAGUUAGGUUGAGCAAUUCCAGUCCCCAAGGGCCACAGAGUCUGAUGGGAGUCCCUCUACCUCUGAUUUGAUCAUAUAAAUACACCAUGGCUUCGACUAAUUACUAUUCAACAGUUGUUCAUCCACAGCAUCAAAUCACUGAAUAAAGGCUGCGAACCUGCUGGAUUAGAAUCCAAGAUCUUGAGCUUUUGGAAAGAAGAAAAGUCUGGGAUUCCAUGAGAUCGUAACACGAGAUUCAAAAUAUGACAGGAGGAUGAAGCUCCAUCCACCGAUGGUAGAGAAUGUAAAAAAUGUUGGCAUGGGAGAAUCAAUAGCAUGCCCUGCUUCUGUUUAGCUGACCUCCCCCUAGUGGUAGAAUCACCUAACUGCACCACAUUUCAUUCUGGCCAAUGGUUUAUUUUUAAGUAUGCCAUUCAGCAGACACUUUUAUCCAAAGUGACUAACAGUCAUGCGUGCAUACAUUUUACGUAUGGGUUUAUAUGAGCCAUAGAGAACAAGCUCUUUAAAGCUUUUACACUCACAGUCAGACUAWUCAAAGCUAUUAAGACCAAAGCACAGAACACGAAUGAUGCCKCUGACAAAUGAAAUGGAACUGAAAAUGAUUAAAGCUGCAAUAUGUUGGGUGACCCUACACAAUUCACAUAGAAAUGUGCGUUAUAGAUCUGUCAUUCUGAUUGAAAGCUAAUCUAAUCUGUUGUAUGUGUGCUAUUUCUAUGCUUCCCAUUUUUUUGUCUUUUACUUUCUUUUUCAGCUACAAACGGCUGAAAAUACAYUAUUUUUGGUUAUGGAAAAUAUAUUUCACAGCGGUUUAGACAAUACAAUGAUUCUCUACACUAUACUUUCUUGUUUG